CCCUUGACUCUGGGAUAAGCCUGGGAAACUGGGUCUAAUACUGGAUACUACCUCUUGCCGCAUGGUGGGUGGUGGAAAGGGUUUUACUGGUUUUGGAUGGGCUCACGGCCUAUCAGCUUGUUGGUGGGGUAAUGGCUCACCAAGGCGACGACGGGUAGCCGGCCUGAGAGGGUGACCGGCCACACUGGGACUGAGACACGGCCCAGACUCCUACGGGAGGCAGCAGUGGGGAAUAUUGCACAAUGGGCGGAAGCCUGAUGCAGCGACGCCGCGUGAGGGAUGACGGCCUUCGGGUUGUAAACCUCUUUCAGUAGGGAAGAAGCGAGAGUGACGGUACCUGCAGAAGAAGCGCCGGCUAACUACGUGCCAGCAGCCGCGGUAAUACGUAGGGCGCAAGCGUUGUCCGGAAUUAUUGGGCGUAAAGAGCUCGUAGGCGGUUUGUCGCGUCUGCUGUGAAAGCCCGGGGCUCAACCCCGGGUCUGCAGUGGGUACGGGCAGACUAGAGUGCAGUAGGGGAGACUGGAAUUCCUGGUGUAGCGGUGAAAUGCGCAGAUAUCAGGAGGAACACCGAUGGCGAAGGCAGGUCUCUGGGCUGUUACUGACGCUGAGGAGCGAAAGCAUGGGGAGCGAACAGGAUUAGAUACCCUGGUAGUCCAUGCCGUAAACGUUGGGCACUAGGUGUGGGGGACAUUCCACGUUU
This 700-nucleotide ribosomal RNA is filed under the name Kocuria rosea. RNAcentral describes it as "bacterial SSU rRNA". It matches the Rfam family "Bacterial small subunit ribosomal RNA", at positions 129 to 839 of the family's 1533-position model. The record is from RNAcentral. Lineage: Bacteria; Bacillati; Actinomycetota; Actinomycetes; Micrococcales; Micrococcaceae.